This 793-nucleotide ribosomal RNA is filed under the name uncultured organism. RNAcentral's name for it is "bacterial SSU rRNA". It matches the Rfam family "Bacterial small subunit ribosomal RNA", at positions 13 to 793 of the family's 1533-position model. The record is from RNAcentral.
UUGAUCCUGGCUCAGAACGAACGCUGGCGGCGCGCCUCAUACAUGCAAGUCGAGCGAGAAAGCCCGCUUCGGUGGGUGAUUAAAGCGGCGAACGGGUGCGUAACACGUGGGCAACCUGCCUUUAGGUCUGGGAUAAGCCGCCGAAAGGGGGUCUAAUACCGGAUAACACCUUUCUAUCGCAUGGUAGAAAGUUCAAAGACCGCUUGCGGUCGCCUGAAGAUGGGCCCGCGGCCUAUUAGCUAGUUGGUGAGAUAACAGCCCACCAAGGCUGCGAUGGGUAGCCGUCCUGAGAGGGUGAACGGCCACACUGGGACUGAGAUACGGCCCAGACUCCUACGGGAGGCAGCAGUAGGGAAUAUUGCGCAAUGCCCGAAAGGGUGACGCAGCGACGCCGCGUGGGUGAUGAAGCUUCUUGGAGCGUAAAGCCCUUUCAGAAGGGAAGAACCGCAUGGAGGUGAACCUCCGUGCCUGACGGUACCUUCAGAAGAAGCUCCGGCUAACUCCGUGCCAGCAGCCGCGGUAAUACGGAGGGAGCAAGCGUUGUUCGGAAUCACUGGGCGUAAAGGGCGCGUAGGCGGGCCGGUGAGUCAGGUGUGAAAACCCGGGGCUUAACCCCGGGCCUGCACUUGAUACUAUCGGUCUUGAGUACGAGAGAGGAAAGCGGAAUUCCAGGUGUAGCGGUGAAAUGCGUAGAUAUCUGGGAGAACACCGGUGGCGAAGGCGGGUUUCUGGCUCGAUACUGACGCUGAUGCGCGAAGGCUAGGGGAGCAAACAGGAUUAGAUACCCUGGUAG